This 145-nucleotide non-coding RNA is filed under the name Stephanopyxis turris. The record is from RNAcentral. Lineage: Eukaryota; Bacillariophyta; Melosirophyceae; Stephanopyxales; Stephanopyxidaceae.
AGCUGCCGGAAUUUGAGCCCGAGGACGAGGAAGAAAAAUCUCCGGCGAGGAACAAGUACGGAGUUAAGCCGCGGAAAAAGAAUGAUGUCACGGUUGUGGUACAGAAACGAAAAGGCUUCCGCUUCCUCGCAGUGUUGAUGCGCAU